Molecule: ribosomal RNA, 408 nt
Filed under: uncultured eukaryote
Lineage: Eukaryota
Description: partial 18S ribosomal RNA
Rfam family: Eukaryotic small subunit ribosomal RNA
Source: RNAcentral
CAAUAGCGUAUAUUAAUGUUGUUGCAGUUAAAAAGCUCGUAGUUGGAUUUCGAAUGGGAGCGGUGGGUCGGGUCCGCAAGGACUCGUUACCUGUUUCGUCUCCGGUUCUUUUUCGGGAUUUGUUUCUGGCGUGGCUGGCAUUGAGUUGUCGGUGGCGUCGGGCCCGUCGUUUACUGUGAACAAAUUAGAGUGUUCAAAGCAAGGUGUGUCUUGAAUACAUUAGCAUGGAAUAAUGAGAUAGGACUUUGGUGGUUUCGGUGAAAGCCGGAUAUUUUGUUGGUUUGCACGCCAAAGUAAUGAUUAAUAGGAGCAGUUGGGGGUAUUCGUAUUCAAUUGUCAGAGGUGAAAUUCUUGGAUUUCUAGAAGACGAACUACUGCGAAAGCAUUUACCAGGGAUGUUUUCAUUAA